GAUGGGUCGUUGGUCUUUGUGGGAGAUAAUGUGUCAGCCGUGGUAGAAGUUGCUCCCUGAGUAGGCAUGGGCGCCCGCCUAGAUGAAGGGAUUUUCUCAUCUUGAGGUGUCGGGAGGAGUAAAGGAGAUUGACUCUUCUCUGUCAUUAGCCUUUUUAUUGACACUAGCUCUUUAUAUAGUCAAUUUUUUGGAGGAGUAUCGUAUCGGUAGGCACAGAUCAUUGGUAUUGGAUGUAUCGUUAGGUUGUGCCGAGUCAAAUCAGCGGAGCUUAUUUUUUUCCGUUGCAGAAAAGAGAUCCCUUACCCUUUCUUUAGAAAAUGAUGUAUAUGAAGUCCGGGAGGCUGCGGGUACUAUGGAUCCUCUGACUCCCAAUCGGGUUACCUUCCUGGGUCUCGCCGGUGUUGCCUGUAGGUCGUGAUGUGCCUCGAGAUGGCCGUCUCCUGUCCCCCUGCUCGUGGGGAAUCCGCUCCUCGGGCGUCGCUCUGCUGCGUCUGGCCCGUCCUCUAGGCACCUUUGGAGGGCGGGGAGUGUGACAACGUACACGCUUCCCUUUACUCCAUAUAUAUAUAUAUGGAGUAAAGGGAAGCGUGUACGUUGUCACACUCCCCGCCCUCCAAAGGUGCCUAGAGGACGGGCCAGACGN
Molecule: long non-coding RNA, 643 nt
Filed under: Hordeum vulgare
Lineage: Eukaryota; Viridiplantae; Streptophyta; Magnoliopsida; Poales; Poaceae
Description: long non-coding RNA (HVUL_LNC005355)
Rfam family: mir-1 microRNA precursor family (bases 531-600)
Source: RNAcentral